UAGGUGUCCCGCCAUCGGGUGGCCGUGUGCCAGCUCCAUGACCGUCUCCGUCUUGGUGGUAGGCAUGACCAGGAGGAAUUUGUCCUCCCCCCGCCUGUGGGCAACACAGUACAGCAGACCAUUGCGUAUUUCGAAAUGAGGGAGGGGGGGGGGCCCCGGGAGCCUGUCUACCUCAUCAAUGCAGCGCACUUGAUCCCAGCAGUUCCGCAGGUGCCCCCGUCGGGGACCGCC
Long non-coding RNA from Sinocyclocheilus grahami, 231 nucleotides. RefSeq lists it as uncharacterized. NCBI's taxonomy places the organism in Eukaryota, Metazoa, Chordata, Actinopteri, Cypriniformes, Cyprinidae. The record is from RefSeq and is a predicted model, not a curated record. The transcript is spliced from 3 exons.